AACAUUUACCAGCACACUGCUGGUCACAGCCCUGCUCAAGAGUGGCCUUGAAACAAGUGGAAAAAGGAAAUUCUCCUAAUGCCAGAGUUUUGGGUGAUGUACCUAGGCACCCACUUUAUGUGGAAACAGAAGUGGUCAGAUAAGUAUAUACACGGACUCAAGGACAGUGAAAAAUGGCUUGGCCAGCAGUCUGGAAGGAGGAAGAUUGGAAGGUUGGGGACUAGGAGGUCCGCAGAAAGGCAUAUGGAUGGACUUGUAGAAGGGGGUACUGAGUGUGAAGAUCCUUGGAUGCAUGCUAAUACCCACCCGAGAGCAUCCACUGUGGAGGGAGACAAACCACCAAGCAGCCAGAAUGACUCAGCCAGUUGAUGUUAGCCAGCCUCAGACACGGGCCACUCCAGUGCUGGCACAGUGGGCCCAUGAAUGAAGUAGUCAUGGUGGCCUGGAUGGAGGCCAUGUAUGGGCCCAAAAGCUUGGGCUCCCACUCAUUUUGGCUGAUUAGCUACUGCCAUUGAAUGACCAUGUGACCAUGAAAUCUCUUAAUCCUAUCACCACACUUCUGACAAGCUGCUGGCCUGAUUGAGCAAUGGCAUGUCUGUUGAAGGCACAUCUGAGGCACUAUCUCAUAGAUGAUAGCUGUGAAGACAGAGCACCAUUUUCUAGGGCAUAGUAUACCACCCAAUGACUUUGUAGACAAAAAGAAGAGUCAUCAUCCUGACAGGGGUAAUUGACCAUGAUCUUCAGCACAAGGUACUGCUCUGUUAUACGAUGCGGGCAGAGAGGCAUGAGUUUGGCAUCCAGAUGUUGAUCCUGAGAGCGCUUCCUAAUGAACUUUCUGCAUGCUGACCUCCAUUUCAAAGUCUGCUUCCUGGGGAAACCUGAAACAGGAGUAGAGGCUAGCAGCUGCCCAGAAGAACCAGAUCGGCCAUUGUCCUUGCCAGAUCUGAUCUUUGAGCAGAUGGCCACCUCUCACACUGCUCACUUGUACAUCCAGAUCUCAGGCUGACUCUGCCCCACUGAUGAUGGUGAUAGCCAAGUGCAGCUCCAAGUCUACAUACCACCAUUUAAUCAACUCCACUGGAAAGUAAGAAUGCCUCUUUUCGAAUAAGUCCAGCUGAGUUCUCUGGCUAACUUUCUUGAGCUCAACUUGGUUCACAAGCCUGUUCCUGAAACGCUUCACUGUGGCUGAGAAGUUGAAUAGGCUGAUUUGCCAGUAUGAGUGUACUGCUGGAAAUGGGGAGGACUGAGUACAACAGAGAACUGUACGAGGUCUCCAGCUGACAGGGCCGUGCAGUUCUGGCUAUUUGCUGGGCAAGCCUGGUGUUCUGGUGCCAGGCAUGGGCUUCAUCUGCCUGGAGGAUGGGCUAUAUGUUUCUAAUAUGCACAAUAGCAUCCCAUGGACUAGUUGUGGCCCCAGAGCCAUGGGUGUGAACCACUUGGACUUUGAACCGGGGAGUCCUCUGGGUGAAAAACAGGUGCUGUAUCUAGGGAAAACGGACACAGCACAGCAGAACUAUCAGAUGUACACUACAGAAGAAACGCCAUUACACUCCUGCCAUUAGUGUAAUUCUGAAUGUCUUGCUGUGUAGAUCCCACUCAACUCAAUUUAAAUCUACUCAGCUCAAUCCAAUCCAACAAUUAUGGAUCCCUUAUUAUAGGCCCCAAAGUGUGUGCGUGUGUGUGUGUGUGUGUGUGUGUGUGUUGGGUAGGUGGGUAAGGAGGCACUACCAAAAAAAAAAAACAAAGAAAGAAAGGACAGAAGAGACCUAAGGAGCAU
Molecule: long non-coding RNA, 1777 nt
Organism: Equus caballus (horse)
Lineage: Eukaryota; Metazoa; Chordata; Mammalia; Perissodactyla; Equidae
Source: Ensembl